GCCAUGCAUGUGUAAGUAUGA
Molecule: non-coding RNA, 21 nt
Filed under: Arabidopsis thaliana (thale cress)
Lineage: Eukaryota; Viridiplantae; Streptophyta; Magnoliopsida; Brassicales; Brassicaceae
Source: RNAcentral